UGGGGAAUAUUGGACAAUGGGGGGAACCCUGAUCCAGCCAUGCCGCGUGUGUGAAGAAGGCCUUAUGGUUGUAAAGCACUUUAAGCGAGGAGGAGGGUACUGGUAUUAAUACUACCAGCUACUGGACGUUACUCGCAGAAUAAGCACCGGCUAACUCUGUGCCAGCAGCCGCGGUAAUACAGAGGGUGCGAGCGUUAAUCGGAUUUACUGGGCGUAAAGCGUGCGUAGGCGGCUAAUUGAGUCGGAUGUGAAAUCCCCGAGCUUAACUUGGGAAUUGCAUUCGAUACUGGUUAGCUAGAGUGUGGGAGAGGAUGGUAGAAUUCCAGGUGUAGCGGUGAAAUGCGUAGAGAGCUGGAGGAAUACCGAUGGCGAAGGCAGCCAUCUGGCCUAACACUGACGCUGAGGUGCGAAAGCGUGGGGAGCAAACAGG
RNAcentral lists this ribosomal RNA (430 nucleotides) under Pseudomonadota bacterium. RNAcentral describes it as "Proteobacteria bacterium partial 16S ribosomal RNA". It matches the Rfam family "Bacterial small subunit ribosomal RNA", at positions 355 to 776 of the family's 1533-position model. The record is from RNAcentral. Lineage: Bacteria; Pseudomonadati; Pseudomonadota.